ACUAAUACGAAGAAAUUUAUUACGAUAUGAAAUUGCAAUUUUUUAAUUUAAUUUUGUGCAUUGUAUCAAGUCAUGAGAUAUCCAAUUCAUAAGUCUAACGUUACAUUUCUAUAAUUUUCUUAAAAUUGUAUCUCGAUAAAAAAUAUUUUGUCAGAAUGCUACGAAGAAAUAUAUUAUAAAUAUAUCAACUUGCCAUAUUACACUUUAGUAUUGCAUUUCUCAAUAUCGCCGUUGGUACUUGAGAUUAAGAGUCAUUAAGAUCGUGCCAAGCACAGUCCAUGUUGUACGUAUAAUACUACGACCAUAUACGACAUCCACUUACAUCCAAGGAUAUUGGUUCAUAACUCAACUCGAGUUGAGUAUGUAGUACGGGUUGCACCUGUAACAAAAAUCCAUUGACGUAGUUGCUGAUAAUAUAUUAGUUCAUAAUGCUUACGGCAAAGCUAUAAUUUUAUGUGUAAUUGUAUAUUUUUAGUUUUUUCUUUUCCUUUUUCUCUUUCUUUUUUUUUUUUCUUUGUCCUUUUUUCUCUUUCAAAGAUUUCAUUAUACGUACUCUCUUUUUCUCUUUUAAUUCACCUCAUUGGUAAGGAUCGAUAUCUUCCCCCUCUCCUACUCCUACCAACACAAGCAUUGUAAUUCGAGAAGUUUCUGCACUGAUAUUGAUCAAAACUCAGAUGAAUAUAGUUUUCGAUCCAUUUUAUUUGACGUGAAACAAGUAUUUCAUUGUCAACGAUAUAAAAGCAAACAAAUAAGAGAAACGUGAUGUGAAUGAAGGUGCACGAAUGAAAAUAACGAUUCCGCGUUUACGUCGUCCUUGACACGUACGAAACAACUCCAUUUCCGUCGAUUGAAAAUGAAAAAGACACUGAUGAUAAUCGACGUUCAUUCUUCGAAGUCAUUAAAAGGACAAGUGAUUGUCAAUGGAAAAAUUGGGAUAUAAUGAUAUCACAGUGAUAAAUUCAUGAAUUAUAAAUUGUUCGAUGAGUAACGUGAUCGAAAUUUUAUGACGAAUGCUUGAUACAAAAUUAAAAAGAUUAAAAACAAGAAAAGAAUAAGAAGAAAAAAAGGAAAAAACAAUUAAGAAUAAAUGAAAAUAAAAUAAUUAAUGAUAAACUAAAGAUAAUGGUAAACGAUUUAACUAACGAUGAUAUAUGUAACGUUCGAUACGAAAUAUCGAUGCAAUUUGACGAUAAAAGAGUAACGAAUCCCUCGGAGCUAUCAGUAAAACCCGAGGCGAUAUUGCUAACGAGUUUCUGACGAUGCCUUAUGCGACCUACGGGUACCUUUUAUGUUCUAUAAUGUGCUUGCAAUCCAGGAUUCUCAGCCGGAUGUGGAUUUCGUCGACUCGAAAAAGGAAUACAGAGCUUCGAAACGAAAACUGACUGUAAGAUGAUGAAAAAUAAGGGGACAGGGAUGGAGGGAGGUAGAGAGAGAAAAGAGAUCUUGCGGCAGAGAAAUUGGAUGUGUAAGUUAGUUCGAAGGUUACAAAAUUCACAACUUUUACGAUUAGAUCUAUCAAUACUUGAUAUAUAUAUAUAUAUAUAUAUAUAUAUAUGUGAUCGGUAUUAUUGAAAUGAAAAAUUUCUCGUCAAUUUGAUAAUGAAUUUGUAUUUGUUAAUUUUCAAACGAUUUAUAUAAUAUCUAAUUUAUUCUAUCUCGUAAAAUAUUUAUAUUUCGUUAAUAGUAAAGAAUAUAUUUAUAUAUAUUACAAAUGAAGGGACAUUGCUAUUUAAAUCGCGACCUGUUCUCUCGAAUGGAGAAACACUAGGCAUUCUGAAGUUACGAGGAACGGUUUCUCCGUGGACGAAGUUAGAGAGCGAGAACUUAGUAAGCCUCGAGAACCCUAAGGAUGGUAGUAUCAAACUACAGCCACGAAAAGCUUUCAUUCCAACACGGUGAAACCACCACGACUCUCUACCCCUCUUACAACCAGUUAGAACUCGCUCCCAUUUUGUACACACGAUCCUAAGCGGACAAGAUUUAACGAGUAAAGCUUCAAACUUAAAGAAGAAGAAAAAAGAAAAAAAAAGAAAAAAAAAAAAAAAGAAAAAAAAAAAAAAGGGAAAACGUAAUAAUCCGGUAAAUAGCUUCUUUCAUUCUAAUUUAUAUGUUAUGCCAGGAAAAAAUGACACUUUUAUUAAUAAUUUCAAAAUAUAACACUUAAUCCACAAUUUAUUUGCAAAUCUGUAAAAACAAAUUUGUAAGACUAACUAUUUUAUUCUAUGAAAAAUAUUAUAUUUUGUAAUUAAAAAAUUAUUAAAACAAAAACAAAAAAAAAUCUAUCGAAUUCAUUCCAUCGGAUGGUCCUUUAUCUCUAUUAAAAAGUUUCUUUCUUUGAUUAAUAAUAAAAAUAAAUAACAUUUAUCAAUAGCUACUAUCGUACGCCAUCUUUUAUUAGUGAGAAAGUACUAAAUUUAUAGAAUAAAUUCCUAACUUAUCAACCAAAAUCAUCGAUUCACUAGUAUACGACAUUUAUUGAGUUAGAUUACUGAAACGUUAUGUCGCGUCAUGCUCCGGUUUCAACGGUAGAUAAAAGCAUUAAAUAUGGCGAGUGUAAUAAAAUGAUUCAUUAGUAACGAUUCAUAAAGGGUUCCAUGAACGUAAAUUAAACUUCUUAAAUUCUGAAUAAAUUUCUAUCACAAGUAUAAGAUCUUAAAGGGUAUUUGAUUUGAAAGAUUUUAAUAUUAGUGCUAUCGUGAAUUUUUAUUAAAGAUAAUUUUAAGUGCAUGUCAUUUUAAUGAAUCGUUAGACGAAAUGAAUAAUAUCAAGGAUAGAGUAUAUCUACUGGUAGAAGCGAGGAACUAAACAUACUCGUUAUGUAAAUUAAAGCCGCACAAGUAAUUAAAGGUUUAACAGGAGUACGUGCACUCGUUGCAACUACUACGGCCAGGUAUAAUUUUCUUUGGUCCGGUUUAAUUCGGUUUAGCUAAAUCACUUUUACAAUGCGAACGUUUCAGUAAAAUCGUGUACGACUUAAAUUUUUAUUAAAUAUUCCGAUCAACUAAACAAACGAUUUUUCAUUUAAUCCAAUUAUAUUAAUUAAUAUCAGAUAUUUAAUUUAUUAUAAUUGACGCGAUUAAAUCUUUAUCGGUUUAAUUCAAAGUUAAUCAUUUGAAAUAAUUUAGGACAUAUUCUUGGCAAUAAUCGGUCUGAUUAGUUCGAUGGAUCUUAAAUAGAGAUUAGGAUCAUUCGUUCAGGCAUAUUGCAUCUUUAGUUCCCAAUGUAUACAGAUAAACCUUUACUUUCAUUGAUUCUCUAUUAGCUCGUAUAAGAGUACUUAUCUAUAAAUAUAUUAUGUAGAGAAUAAAUCGAAUGAAGCUUAUUCGGUCGAUUUAAUUAAAAUAUUUAGUUAAAUUAAACGAUCAAUCGAAUGACUAAUUAUUACUCAUUGUUA
Long non-coding RNA from Vespa velutina, 3394 nucleotides. RefSeq lists it as uncharacterized. The record is from RefSeq and is a predicted model, not a curated record. NCBI's taxonomy places the organism in Eukaryota, Metazoa, Arthropoda, Insecta, Hymenoptera, Vespidae. The transcript is spliced from 3 exons.